This is an unclassified non-coding RNA of Cavia porcellus (domestic guinea pig), 331 nucleotides long. Its record names the gene 7SK. It matches the Rfam family "7SK RNA". From Rfam's summary of the family: 7SK was discovered as an abundant small nuclear RNA in the mid-70s but a possible function has only recently been suggested. The record is from Ensembl. NCBI's taxonomy places the organism in Eukaryota, Metazoa, Chordata, Mammalia, Rodentia, Caviidae.
GGAUAUGAGGGUAAGCUGGCCCCUACAUCUGUCACUCCACUGAUCACCUGGGCUAAUCUGGCUGGCUAGAUGGGUGUCCUCUUCCUCCCUCACCACUCCAUGUGUUUCCUUCCCAAAGCUGCUCGCUUGAUCAAAGAGGAUGACCCACCCAGAGAAUGAUGGUUUCCAUGGUCAACGGUAUAGGAGAUAUUACACUGCCCUGCUAGCACCUCCAAACAAACUCUCAAAUAAAAAAUAAAAAGGGCCCUGAGUUCAGAUCCUAGUAUAAGGCAGGAAAAAAAAAAAAAAGAAAAAGAAAAACAUUGAAGACAUCUAAUAGGGAGAGGAAUAU